ACAACUCUGAGCGGUGGAUCACUCGGUCUGUGGAUGCUAUGAAGACCAUAGCUAAGUGUGAGAAUGGCAGCGAGCCGUCGCUAUA
This 85-nucleotide ribosomal RNA is filed under the name Gammarus tigrinus. RNAcentral's name for it is "partial 5.8S ribosomal RNA". Lineage: Eukaryota; Metazoa; Arthropoda; Malacostraca; Amphipoda; Gammaridae. The record is from RNAcentral.